This 402-nucleotide ribosomal RNA is filed under the name bacterium. Its description in RNAcentral is "partial 16S ribosomal RNA". It matches the Rfam family "Bacterial small subunit ribosomal RNA", at positions 355 to 776 of the family's 1533-position model. The record is from RNAcentral.
UGGGGAAUUUUGAACAAUGGGGGAAACCCUGAUGCAGCGACGCCGCGUGAUUUAGAAGGCCUUCGGGUUGUAAAAAUCUUUUCUAUGGGAAGAAAAUGACAGUACCAUAGGAAUAAGGACCGGCUAAUUACGUGCCAGCAGCCGCGGUAAUACGUAAGGUCCGAGCGUUGUCCGGAAUCAUUGGGCGUAAAGGGUACGUAGGCGGGUAAGCGAGUUAGAAGUGAAAUCCUAUAGCUCAACUAUAGUAAGCUUUUAAAACUGCUCAUCUUGAGGUAUGGAAGGGAAAGUGGAAUUCCUAGUGUAGCGGUGAAAUGCGCAGAUAUUAGGAGGAAUACCGGUGGCGAAGGCGACUUUCUGGCCAUAACCUGACGCUGAGGUACGAAAGCGUGGGUAGCAAACAGG